RNAcentral lists this ribosomal RNA (468 nucleotides) under uncultured bacterium. Its description in RNAcentral is "partial 16S ribosomal RNA". It matches the Rfam family "Bacterial small subunit ribosomal RNA", at positions 28 to 507 of the family's 1533-position model. The record is from RNAcentral.
GACGAACGCUGGCGGCGUGCUUAACACAUGCAAGUCGAACGGAAAGGCCCUGCUUUUGUGGGGUGCUCGAGUGGCGAACGGGUGAGUAACACGUGAGUAACCUGCCCUUGACUUUGGGAUAACUUCAGGAAACUGGGGCUAAUACCGGAUAGGAGCUCCUGCUGCAUGGUGGGGGUGGGAAAGUUUCGGCGGUUGGGGAUGGACUCGCGGCUUAUCAGCUUGUUGGUGGGGUAGUGGCUUACCAAGGCUUUGACGGGUAGCCGGCCUGAGAGGGUGACCGGCCACAUUGGGACUGAGAUACGGCCCAGACUCCUACGGGAGGCAGCAGUGGGGAAUAUUGCACAAUGGGCGGAAGCCUGAUGCAGCAACGCCGCGUGCGGGAUGACGGCCUUCGGGUUGUAAACCGCUUUCGCCUGUGACGAAGCGUGAGUGACGGUAAUGGGUAAAGAAGCAACGGCUAACUACGUG